AAGUCGUAACAAGGUUUCCGUAGGUGAACCUGCGGAAGGAUCAUUAAACACAGUAGUUUUCUACUGAUUUUGGGGGAGUGGAAAGUCUCAGUUUUAUCGCUGAACCACGAGUAAGCUCCCUUUCUCCAUCCUUGUCUUUUGAGUACUUAUGUUUCCUUGGUGGGCUCGCCCACCAACCGGACAAUCAUACAACCUUUUUAAUUUUCAUUCAGCGUCUAAAUAAUUAUAAUAAUUACAACUUUCAACAACGGAUCUCUUGGUUCUG
RNAcentral lists this unclassified non-coding RNA (265 nucleotides) under air metagenome. RNAcentral's name for it is "partial contains small subunit ribosomal RNA, internal transcribed spacer 1, and 5.8S ribosomal RNA". The stretch from base 1 to 46 matches the Rfam family "Eukaryotic small subunit ribosomal RNA", at positions 1786 to 1831 of the family's 1831-position model. The record is from RNAcentral.